Molecule: long non-coding RNA, 399 nt
Organism: Cryptomeria japonica (Japanese cedar)
Lineage: Eukaryota; Viridiplantae; Streptophyta; Pinopsida; Cupressales; Cupressaceae
Exons: 4
Source: RefSeq, a predicted model, not a curated record
GCUUUACUGUUCACCAAUCUUUGCGAAGUUUCAAAGUUGCAGCAUGGCGCAUUACCUCGUUUUCGCUCUGCUGUUCAGAUCCAUCUCUUGUAAGAUUUUUUGCUGUCAAGACUUUCAUGGACCAGAAGACUCUCCAUGGCCUCCAACAGUCGAUCUAGUAGGAAAAUAUUCGCAUUGGAGCGGGGAGAGCGAUGGAGACGGGGCUUCUGGGAUUCGAUCCCAUGAUCUAAUCUGUUGUGAAGUUUCUCUAUUCAAACUGAGAAUAGAUGAUUUGGUAUCAGAUCAGAUCCUCGUCUUGUAAGAUUUUUGGCUGUGAAACCUGAAAGUUCUUAAGAUUCUCACGGACCAGUAAAUUCUAUCCACGGCAUUCAACAAUCGAGUAAGAUGUCAUUGGCAACA